This 597-nucleotide unclassified non-coding RNA is filed under the name Hevea brasiliensis (rubber tree). The record is from RNAcentral. Lineage: Eukaryota; Viridiplantae; Streptophyta; Magnoliopsida; Malpighiales; Euphorbiaceae.
CACCUAUUGUGUACCCUUGUUUUACAGGUAGAACACAGUGUGUGCCCAUUAUGACACUGAUGGAUGGGUGGGUACAUAGAAUUGGUGCAAACAGGGCAUUCUAGCAACUCAUGGACGCUGGUGGCUGGAGCGAUUCCAACGGGACCGACGACAUUGUUGAUGUUAUUGUUAUUAUUGGCGCCGGCAUUGUGAGGCUUUGAUGAAGAAAAUUGAUGGUGGUGAUGAUGAAGAUUGUGGUGAUGUAUCUCAUCUUCAUCCAACCCAUCAGAGGAUGACACACAGUCAAUACCAUCCAACUCCAUAAUAGCCCAGAAAUUCACAAUUUCUUUUUCCAAUUUAAUACAAACUCAAAAAAAAAAAUCUAAGAAUUUUUUUCUCCCUUUCUUUUUGUCUCUCAAAAUUUCCUGACUUUCUUCGCUCUUCUUGCGUUUUCUAGGUAAAGUUUAACGAGAACAAAGAGAAGAGAAAGAGGGGAAGACAGAGAUUCCCAGGAACCAAACAACUCCCUUCUCUUUCUUCUUUCUCUCUCUUUCUUUCUUGUCGAUAAAGAGGCCCUUUUAUUCGUUGCUUUUUUUUUUUUUUUUCAACUUUCUCUCU